AUGGCUCAAAGAAAAUUCUGAGCCAAAAGAGGAGGUGAUAUUGCUUAUGGGCCAGACUUUUGAAGGACGACGUUUCCAAAUAUUAGAGAAUGCAGGAAAUGUGUUUGAAUCGUGGCCUAGACUUUUGAACCAACAUAUUAUCGAUGCAGAAUUUAACCUGCUCUACGAAAACAAAGGAAACUCGUUCUGUGCUGACUUCGGACUUCUAGCUACAUCUCUAAUUCUGCAAGCGAAACACUGCGGAAGGCUUGCUGCAGAACAGUUUGCGAAUGGUCUACAGUUAAAUUUUGCUACAAUAGAACCUUCCAACGAAAAAACUUGUGCAGCAUUGCUGCUGCUUCCACUGAUGUUGCCAGAAGGAGGCUUUAAAAAGAAAGGAACUAAGACGAGAAAGAUAAAACCUACGGGCGCUCAGUCGCAGGAUAAUUUUAUACAGUUUCUCCCUGUAUGUUCCAUUUUUUCUCAAUUCAUUAGCUAUAUAUUUUUGUCCCAAAGCUAAUGUAGGAACUACGUGUUUGCAUAUUGUUCAUAAUACUCUGUUGAAUACUGAGGAAAUUAUUUCUAAUUUUAUUGCUUUGGAAUAUUUUUUGUCGAAAAUAGCAGUUUGUGAUGCAUGUAAUGUGCCAUACCAGUGGUACAAAAUAAAUUAAUGUGGAAAUUAUUUUUAAUUUUAUUGUUUUGGAAUACUUUUUGUCGAAAAUAGCUUUUUGUGAUGCGUUUAAUAUUCAGUUUAGGAAAUGAAGUUUUAGUUACGCCUGCUUUUUUAAUGUAACAUAUACCCCUGAUAGGUAUUUGGCUUUUUUUUUUCUUCUC
Long non-coding RNA from Uloborus diversus, 813 nucleotides. RefSeq lists it as uncharacterized. The record is from RefSeq and is a predicted model, not a curated record. Lineage: Eukaryota; Metazoa; Arthropoda; Arachnida; Araneae; Uloboridae. The transcript is spliced from 3 exons.